RNAcentral lists this ribosomal RNA (266 nucleotides) under uncultured bacterium. RNAcentral's name for it is "partial 16S ribosomal RNA". It matches the Rfam family "Bacterial small subunit ribosomal RNA", at positions 524 to 788 of the family's 1533-position model. The record is from RNAcentral.
UACAGAGGUGGCAAGCGUUGUUCGGAUUUAUUGGGUGUAAAGGGCAGGUAGGCGGUUAAGUAAGUCUGUUGUGAAAUCCCGGGGGCUCAACCCCGGAACUGCAACGGAAACUACUUAGCUGGAACAUAGUAGGGGUGAGGGGAAUUCUCGGUGUAAGGGUGAAAUCUGUAGAUAUCGAGAGGAACACCAAUGGCGAAGGCACCUCACUGGACUAUUGUUGACGCUGAGCUGCGAAAGUAGGGGGAGCAAACAGGAUUAGAUACCCU